GACGAACGCUGGCGGCGUGCUUAACACAUGCAAGUCGAACGGAAAGGCCCUGCUUUUUUGGGGUGCUCGAGUGGCGAACGGGUGAGUAACACGUGAGUAACCUGCCCUUGACUUUGGGAGAACUUCAGGAAACGGGGGCUAAGACCGUAUAGGAGCUCCUGCUCCAGGGUGAGGGUUGGAAAGUUUCGGCUGGCGGGGAUGGACGCGCGGCUGAUGAGCUUGUUAGUUGGGGGGGGGCCUACCAACGCUUGGGCGGGUAGGCGGCUGGUGAGGGUGACCGGCCACAUUGGGACUGAGAUACGGCCCAGACUCCUACGGGAGGCAGCAGUGGGGAAUAUUGCACAAUGGGCGGAAGCCUGAUGCAGCAACGCCGCGUGCGGGAUGACGGCCUUCGGGUUGUAAACCGCUUUCGCCUGUGACGAAGCGUGAGUGACGGUAAUGGGUAAAGAAGCACCGGCUAACUACGUG
This 468-nucleotide ribosomal RNA is filed under the name uncultured bacterium. RNAcentral describes it as "partial 16S ribosomal RNA". It matches the Rfam family "Bacterial small subunit ribosomal RNA", at positions 28 to 507 of the family's 1533-position model. The record is from RNAcentral.